GACGAACGCUGGCGGCGUGCUUAACACAUGCAAGUCGAACGGGAAGGCCCUGCUUUUGUGGGGUGCUCGAGUGGCGAACGGGUGAGUAACACGUGAGUAGCCUGACCUUGACUUUGGGAUAACUUCAGGAAACUGGGGCUAAUACCGGAUAGGAGCUCAUGCUGCAUGGGGGGGGUUGGAGAGUUUCGGCGGUUGGGGAUGGACUAGCGGCUUCUCAGCUGGUUGGUGGGGGAGUGGCCUACCAGGGCUUUGACGGGUAGCCGGCCGGAGAGGGUGACCGGCCACCUUGGGACUGAGAUACGGCCCAGACUCCUACGGGAGGCAGCAGUGGGGAAUAUUGCACAAUGGGCGGAAGCCUGAUGCAGCAACGCCGCGUGCGGGAUGACGGCCGUCGGGUUGUAAACCGCUUUCGCCUGUGACGAAGCGUGAGUGACGGUAAUGGGUAAAGAAGCACCGGCUAACUACGUG
RNAcentral lists this ribosomal RNA (468 nucleotides) under uncultured bacterium. RNAcentral's name for it is "partial 16S ribosomal RNA". It matches the Rfam family "Bacterial small subunit ribosomal RNA", at positions 28 to 507 of the family's 1533-position model. The record is from RNAcentral.